AUGGGAUUGCUUCUUCAUCGGGA
This 23-nucleotide small nuclear RNA is filed under the name Arabidopsis thaliana (thale cress). Its description in RNAcentral is "snRNA_09222". Lineage: Eukaryota; Viridiplantae; Streptophyta; Magnoliopsida; Brassicales; Brassicaceae. The record is from RNAcentral.